UGCUGGAUUUCUCUCUCUUGUUUUUUUGGUUUUUUCUUCACGUCUUCACGAGCUCCGGGCGCUUCGGAAUUAUUUUGUCCUCCUUCGGGGUUGGUGUAUGAGCUACGCAUGAAGCGGAGUCUGCGGCUCUCUAUUUCUACUAGGCAUGUGCAGCGGUGCUGCAUUUGGGUGCAACUGCUCUUCCACGUUGAGGGAGGUGGUUGUUUUCCCUUGUAGAAGUGUUGGAACACGUCGCAGUCGCAGUGUUCCAAUCCUUCUUUUCCUGUUAUUUUGUUUUUUGAUCCCCGCGGGUCUCCAACGGUAGCGUCAGCAUCGCUCAUUCUUCAUCCACCGAAAAAAGUGGCGGGGUCGGAGUUGUGACGCAGGCUUCCUUCGAAGGCUCGUUCUUCCGGUGUUUUUUUUUUUCCUUCGUUCCGUGAGUUUUGAGCUCUGCCUUCGACGGAGCUGUUUUGUAUCUUUCUUGUGAUGGUGUCUGCAGCGGUUGCCUGCUCGAUCAAGGGGGCUGCCUGAGAGCGGAAUCGUGCUCGAUUGUGGUAGCUGGUGUUUUGCGGCUGACCUGGUGGCAGGCGACGGUGGUAAUUGUCACCAUCACAGCGCCCUCGCUGAUGUUAUCUUGUAACCCAGAAUUGGACACAAGUCAUUGGAAAGAAAGAUUUUGUCCUGGUGCACUAAAAACCAAUCACAACUCUUCUGCACAAGGGAAAUCCUCUCGAUUGCAGCCGACUCAAGAAGUUCUCCAACGUGGUCGGGCCCUGGUGGUCUCUGUUUUUUCUUCAGCUGGAAAUGCAAACCAAGUCAAUACAGUUCAUACUAUGGGCGAUAUAAUUUUUGCCGAACCGUCGUUGUUGUUCACGACCAAGUGCUCCCACUAGAACACACCUAGAAGAUGUAGGAACUGUUCUCGUAGGCUGCUAAUGAUACGUUGAGGUUCUUGUUUUUGUUGCUAUUUAUCAAUCUUGUUGUAGAUUGCUAGCUGUGCAUUGGAAGAGCGUGCUGGAACAGGUAAACAUCAAAGAGGGAAGGCACUUUCCCUCUCCACAAUCUUGUUGUUCGAUGAACCAUGCAACCAACUUGCGGCUAGUAUCAUUCGAACUGGAAGGAUUGUAAGAGUUCAUGCUACCGAGCAUGUGCGAUAGCAAGGCAAGAAAAGCAUCGACUACAAUUAGUCUCAUCAACUCCCCGCUUCAGGAAGAUGCUGCACUGAGGAGUGGGGCUGCUCGAAGGAAAAGGCAACACUAGAAUCAACCCCGGAUGAACAGCAGUGACCUUUGAGAGAAUACCAUGGCGACUCGGCUUUAAGACCACAAAUUGUUAAAGGCAGCACUCAGGGAGAACGGAAGUCGUCCCAAGCUUUAAUCGCUCUCAAUUCUCCAAAUGCUUGGAAUCCAAGAUCAAGUACAACUUCAAAGACUAGGCAAGAUUACCAAGUUUUUAGUGAAUAAAAAAUUAUUUUGUAUGAA
Physcomitrium patens is the source of this 1460-nucleotide non-coding RNA. The record is from RefSeq and is a predicted model, not a curated record. NCBI's taxonomy places the organism in Eukaryota, Viridiplantae, Streptophyta, Bryopsida, Funariales, Funariaceae.